UGGGGAAUUUUGGACAAUGGGGGCAACCCUGAUCCAGCCAUUCCGCGUGAGUGAAGAAGGCCUUCGGGUUGUAAAGCUCUUUCGGCAGGAACGAAACGGUGAGGGUUAAUACCUCUUAUCAAUGACGGUACCUGAAGAAGAAGCACCGGCUAACUACGUGCCAGCAGCCGCGGUAAUACGUAGGGUGCGAGCGUUAAUCGGAAUUACUGGGCGUAAAGCGUGCGCAGGCGGUUUCGUAAGACAGAUGUGAAAUCCCCGGGCUUAACCUGGGAACUGCGUUUGUGACUGCGAGACUCGAGUGUGGCAGAGGGGGGUGGAAUUCCACGUGUAGCAGUGAAAUGCGUAGAGAUGUGGAGGAACACCGAUGGCGAAGGCAGCCCCCUGGGUCAACACUGACGCUCAUGCACGAAAGCGUGGGGAGCAAACAGG
RNAcentral lists this ribosomal RNA (429 nucleotides) under uncultured bacterium. RNAcentral's name for it is "bacterial SSU rRNA". It matches the Rfam family "Bacterial small subunit ribosomal RNA", at positions 355 to 776 of the family's 1533-position model. The record is from RNAcentral.